AGUUUGAACUUUAAAAAAAUAGGUACACAAUAACGCUGUCCUUGUUUGAGUUCAAAAGAGUGUUUUGGCUGUUUUGCUGGCAUUUUGGUUGGAGGCGUCAUGGGGAGAACCGUGGUGCAAAUCACCUUCGUCAUAUUCCUGCUGGCUUUGGCUUCCACACAGCCAAACAAGGAUGACUGGGACAUCUACAGCUUUCACAUCAACUCCACAGUGACCAGUCGUUAUGCCACCACUGUCAUCACAAGCCGUGUGGCCAAUCGUAUGAACGAGUCAAAGGAAAUUGAAUUUCAUGUUCAGAUUCCCAAGAAUGCCUUCAUCAGUAAAUUUCGAAUGUUUAUCGAUGGCCAGGUUUAUGAUGGUGUUGUGAAAGCUAAGGAGCAAGCUCAGCAGCAGUACACUGAAGCUGUGUCCCGUGGUGAAAGUGCUGGACUUGUCAGUUCUGUAGGGAGGACACUGGAGGAAUUUAAGACCUCUGUAACUGUGGCUGCUCACAAAAAGGUCACUUUUGAACUCACAUAUGAGGAAUUAAUGAAACGCACACAUGGCAAGUAUGAGCUGCAAAUUCAUGCUCGACCCACACAGCCUGUCAGAGACUUCAAGGUGGAUGUGUACAUUCACGAGGAAGCUGGCAUCAGUUUCAUCAAUGUGAAAGGAGGCCUGAGCACCAAUGCCCUCGCUAAUGCCAUCACCAAAACACAUGCAGAUAAACAGGCGUGGGUGUAUUUCUAUCCAACAGUCGACCAACAGAAAAUGUGUGACAGCUGUGGAGAUCAGGGUAUGAAUGGAGAUCUGGUUAUAGUUUAUGAUGUUAACAGGGAUAAUGGACUGGGACACAUCAAGAAAUCUGACGGGUACUUUGUUCAUCAUUUUGCACCAUCUGAUCUUCCACGGAUACCAAAAAAUGUCGUCUUUGUUAUUGAUCAAAGUGGCUCAAUGGAGGGCCGGAAAAUUGAGCAGACUAGGACCGCAUUAAUCCACAUUCUGAAUGAUCUGGCAGAAGAUGAUCACUUUGGUCUGAUCACUUUUGAUGACAGAAUUUCUUACUGGAAGCGAGAACUCGUUCAGGCCAACAGCAAAAACCUGGAAAGUGCCAAAAACUUUGCACAAAAUAUACAAGACAGAGGAUACACAAACAUAAAUGAAGCAGUGUGCAAGGAGCACGUAUGCUGAAUGCACAUAACAGAGAAGGUUCAGCAUCUAUCCUUAUACUUCUCACAGAUGGAGACCCAACCUCAGGGGUGACAAAUCUGGAGAAAAUCCAGUCAAAUGUAAGACAGGCUAUUGCAGGCAAAUUCCCACUGUACUGUCUCGGUUUCGGUUUUGAUGUUAAUUUUAAUUUCCUUGAGAAAAUGUCGCUGCAAAAUAACGGUGUGGCACGGCGGAUAUAUGAAGACUCUGAUGCUGAUUUACAGCUGAAGGGUUUCUAUGAAGAGGUGGCCACACCUCUACUGACAGAUGUGACAAUGAUCUAUGUGGGUGGGACCAAUCUAACCCAGACUAACUUCAGUCAGUAUUAUAAUGGUUCUGAGAUUGUGGUGGCCGGACAGAUCACAGAUAAUAAUAUUGAAACCUUCACCCCUCAAGUUGUGGCCAUUUCAAGUAAUAGAAGAAUAAUAUUCUCUAAUCCAAAUGAAACUGUGGAAUCCACUGGAACAGUGUCUGAUGACCGUAUCCAGAGGGUUUGGGCGUACCUCACAGUUAAACAGCUUCUGGACAAAGAGCUUCAGUUAUCUGAAACUGAGAAAGAGAAAGUGAAGAAGGAGGCUUUGGAGCUAUCACUGAGGUACAGUUUUGUGACCCCUCUCACAUCCAUGGUGGUUACAAAGCCUCCCGGAGAGAACACAGAUGUGCUUCAUAAACCCAAGGAAGUUCCUGUUAACCGCAGGACCAGGAUCCAACAUGUUCCUGUUCAUGGUACUGCUAUGGUCAAGUUCAAACAUGCUCCUGUUAAACCCCCCAGGCAUCAGGCCCCUGUUCGUGUUUUAAAGAAAAACUCUCGUGUUACACUCAGGAGUGGACUUCUAGACACUUCUAGUCAUUUUCCACUGGCACCUAAAGCUCCUGCUCCCCGUGUCCAUGUGUUCCCGUUCCUCUCUAUAGCUGUCCCACAGGCAACUGAUGUUCCUCUUCUUCACAGGUUUUUAAUAAACACUGAGAAUCAGACUGUUCCAUUGUGCUUUGAUGUCAGUGGCUCACUACAACUUAAACUACUUCACCAUCCCAGUGAGGAGCUGUUUGUGAAUGGUGAGCUUGAUUCAGUUGUGAAUGGAGGCUUCAACAGUAUUUUUAUACACUUCCAAACUGACCAUCAUUUUGAGAUUGACUCCAGGGGCGUGACUGUACGAGAAGGACAGACUGUGGCACAUCACACUGGACAGGAUACCAUCACAGCUGGGAGUGUGACAGUGGUUGUGCACAACAAGAAAAUACAUGUUACAGCUGGAAAGAUGCGCCUGGUGAUCUUAGUUCAUGAGAAGAAUGGCAACAAAUUCCUUUGGCCAGUUUUAAAAAAGCAUCGCUCGGCCAACGACUCUGAAGGACUUUUAGCUGUAAAGCCUGCAGUGUAUGAGGUGGUGCAGCAAGUUCCUGUCACAAAACUAAAGAUUAAAAACCAAGAGAUAGAUGUUACAAGUGACAACGCUACUGAUUACAGCAUCGACCCUCCUGUCACAAAGAACUGCUGGCUUAUGUCUGCUGACUCUGCCCUGCAGAGGCCACUGGCAGAUUUUUCCGUGGCACAACUUUAAGUGUGAACUGUGCUGAAUUACAAACAUGAAGAAAUAAAAAGUAUCAGUUUAAAAAAA
RNA transcript from Haplochromis burtoni (Burton's mouthbrooder), 2804 nucleotides. It is a transcript of the gene named inter-alpha-trypsin inhibitor heavy chain H3, with no coding region annotated. NCBI's taxonomy places the organism in Eukaryota, Metazoa, Chordata, Actinopteri, Cichliformes, Cichlidae. The record is from RefSeq and is a predicted model, not a curated record. The transcript is spliced from 22 exons.